RNAcentral lists this small RNA (540 nucleotides) under Colletotrichum sp. EN04. RNAcentral's name for it is "eukaryotic LSU rRNA". The stretch from base 178 to 331 matches the Rfam family "5.8S ribosomal RNA". Lineage: Eukaryota; Fungi; Ascomycota; Sordariomycetes; Glomerellales; Glomerellaceae. The record is from RNAcentral.
CAUUACUGAGUUUACGCUCUACAACCCUUUGUGAACAUACCUACAACUGUUGCUUCGGCGGGCAGGGUCUCCGUGACCCUCCCGGCCUCCCGCCCCCGGGCGGGUCGGCGCCCGCCGGAGGAUAACCAAACUCUGAUUUAACGACGUUUCUUCUGAGUGGUACAAGCAAAUAAUCAAAACUUUUAACAACGGAUCUCUUGGUUCUGGCAUCGAUGAAGAACGCAGCGAAAUGCGAUAAGUAAUGUGAAUUGCAGAAUUCAGUGAAUCAUCGAAUCUUUGAACGCACAUUGCGCCCGCCAGCAUUCUGGCGGGCAUGCCUGUUCGAGCGUCAUUUCAACCCUCAAGCUCUGCUUGGUGUUGGGGCCCUACGGCUGACGUAGGCCCUCAAAGGUAGUGGCGGACCCUCCCGGAGCCUCCUUUGCGUAGUAACUUUACGUCUCGCACUGGGAUCCGGAGGGACUCUUGCCGUAAAACCCCCAAUUUUCCAAAGGUUGACCUCGGAUCAGGUAGGAAUACCCGCUGAACUUAAGCAUAUCAAUA